UAUUGCGCAGCAUCGUGUGGGUGAGACCCUGCGUUCAGGUUCGAGCCGAGCGCAGCGAGACAGCAACGCGCAGCGUUGACCCGAAGGGCGAGUCCGCAGGACGAGUCAUCCCGCACGACCCACCA
RNAcentral lists this small RNA (125 nucleotides) under Yersinia kristensenii. RNAcentral describes it as "RtT sRNA". It matches the Rfam family "RtT RNA". From Rfam's summary of the family: This family represents a bacterial cis-regulatory element known as RtT RNA. The exact function of RtT is unknown although it is thought that it may be involved in changing the cellular response in relation to amino acid starvation. Lineage: Bacteria; Pseudomonadati; Pseudomonadota; Gammaproteobacteria; Enterobacterales; Yersiniaceae. The record is from RNAcentral.